Pseudonaja textilis is the source of this 102-nucleotide non-coding RNA. NCBI's taxonomy places the organism in Eukaryota, Metazoa, Chordata, Lepidosauria, Squamata, Elapidae. The record is from RefSeq and is a predicted model, not a curated record.
AGCCAGCCACACCAACAGGCUGAAGAACAGUUUCUACCCGUGGGCUGUCAGACUCCUGAACUGAAAGUAACUUCAUGUCAACGUAGUGUGUGGGGCUUGCGG